Molecule: long non-coding RNA, 109 nt
Organism: Sapajus apella (tufted capuchin)
Lineage: Eukaryota; Metazoa; Chordata; Mammalia; Primates; Cebidae
Exons: 3
Source: RefSeq, a predicted model, not a curated record
UCAGACGGGUGCUCUUAUCUGUUCUUAUCAGUUUAAUAUCUGAUACAUCCUCUAUCCGAGGACAAUAUAUUAAAUAUAUUUUUGGAGUCGGGAGAUGGAAUAGGAGCUU